This 485-nucleotide ribosomal RNA is filed under the name uncultured Thermoanaerobacterium sp. RNAcentral describes it as "partial 16S ribosomal RNA". The record is from RNAcentral. Lineage: Bacteria; Bacillati; Bacillota; Clostridia; Thermoanaerobacterales; Thermoanaerobacteraceae.
CACGUAGUUAGCCGGGGCUUUCGUAUGGUACCGUCAUUUCUUUCUUCCCAUACUAUUGAGCUUUACGACCCGAAGGCCUUCUUCACUCACGCGGCGUCGCUGUGUCAGGGUUUCCCCCAUUGCACAAUAUUCCCCACUGCUGCCUCCCGUAGGAGUCUGGACCGUGUCUCAGUUCCAGUGUGGCCGUUCACCCUCUCAGGCCGGCUACCCAUCGUCGCCUUGGUGGGCCGUUACCCUCACCAACUAGCUAAUGGGACGCGGACUCCUCCUAUAGCGGAUUCCCUCCUUUCUUCGAAAAGCGAUGCCGCUUCUCGACAUUAUCCGGUAUUAGCACCCCUUUCGAGGUGUUAUCCCAGUCUACAGGGUAGAUUGUCCACGCGUUACUCACCCGUCCGCCGCUAAGUUCGUACCGUAGUACUCCCUUCGCUCGACUUGCAUGUGUUAGGCACGCCGCCAGCGUUCGUCCUGAGCCAGGAUCAAACUCU